GGGGUGGUGGCGCAGUUGGCUAGCGCGUAGGUCUCAUAAUCCUGAGGUUGAGAGUUCAAGCCUCUCUCACCUCA
Cryptomeria japonica (Japanese cedar) is the source of this 74-nucleotide non-coding RNA. The record is from the annotation of a RefSeq genome assembly. Lineage: Eukaryota; Viridiplantae; Streptophyta; Pinopsida; Cupressales; Cupressaceae.